GAGCUACAUGAAAGGAGAGUUUAGCAUUCAUCUUGAUAAGGAUAGAAGAGGUUCUAGCAGCCUUUACAAUACAUAUGUGAUGAAGAUAUUGCCGUCUACUCUGUGACAUCUAACCAAAGACAUAA
RNAcentral lists this non-coding RNA (125 nucleotides) under Notamacropus eugenii (tammar wallaby). Lineage: Eukaryota; Metazoa; Chordata; Mammalia; Diprotodontia; Macropodidae. The record is from RNAcentral.